GACGAACGCUGGCGGCGUGCUUAACACGUGCAAGUCGAACGGAAAGGCCCUGCUUUUGUGGGGUGCUCGAGUGGCGAACGGGUGAGUAACACGUGAGUAACCUGCCCUUGACUUUGGGAUAACUUCAGGAAACUGGGGCUAAUACCGGAUAGGAGCUCCUGCUGCAUGGUGGGGGUUGGAAAGUUUCGGCGGUUGGGGAUGGACCCGCGGCUUAUCAGCUUGUUGGUGGGGUAGUGGCUUACCAAGGCUUUGACGGGUAGCCGGCCUGAGAGGGUGACCGGCCACAUUGGGACUGAGAUACGGCCCAGACUCCUACGGGAGGCAGCAGUGGGGAAUAUUGCACAAUGGGCGGAAGCCUGAUGCAGCAACGCCGCGUGCGGGAUGACGGCCUUCGGGUUGUAAACCGCUUUCGCCUGUGACGAAGCGUGAGUGACGGUAAUGGGUAAAGAAGCACCGGCUAACUACGUGCCAGCAGCCGCGGUGAUACGUAGGGUGCGAGCGUUGUCCGGAUUUAUUGGGCGUAAAGGGCUCGUAGGUGGUUGAUCGCGUCGGAAGUGUAAUCUUGGGGCUUAACCCUGAGCGUGCUUUCGAUACGGGUUGACUUGAGGAAGGUAGGGGAGAAUGGAAUUCCUGGUGGAGCGGUGGAAUGCGCAGAUAUCAGGAGGAACACCAGUGGCGAAGGCGGUUCUCUGGGCCUUUCCUGACGCUGAGGAGCGAAAGCGUGGGGAGCGAACAGGCUUAGAUACCCUGGUAGUCCACGCUGUAAACGGUGGGUACUAGGUGUGGGGUCCACUCCACGGGUUCCGUGCCGUAGCUAACGCUUUAAGUACCCCGCCUGGGGAGUACGGCCGCAAGGCUAAAACUCAAAGGAAUUGACGGGGCCCCGCACAAGCGGCGGAGCAUGCGGAUUAAUUCGAUGCAACGCGUAGAACCUUACCUGGGUUUGACAUGGAUCGGGAGUGCUCAGAGAUGGGUGUGCCUCUUUUGGGGUCGGUUCACAGGUGGUGCAUGGCUGUCGUCAGCUCGUGUCGUGAGAUGUUGGGUUAAGUCCCGCAACGAGCGCAACCCUUGUUCACUGUUGCCAGCACGUUAUGGUGGGGACUCAGUGGAGACCGCCGGGGUCAACUCGGAGGAAGGUGGGGAUGACGUCAAGUCAUCAUGCCCCUUAUGUCCAGGGCUUCACGCAUGCUACAAUGGCUGGUACAGAGAGUGGCGAGCCUGUGAGGGUGAGCGAAUCUCGGAAAGCCGGUCUCAGUUCGGAUUGGGGUCUGCAACUCGACCUCAUGAAGUCGGAGUCGCUAGUAAUCGCAGAUCAGCAACGCUGCGGUGAAUACGUUCCCGGGGCU
Molecule: ribosomal RNA, 1346 nt
Filed under: uncultured bacterium
Lineage: Bacteria
Description: partial 16S ribosomal RNA
Rfam family: Bacterial small subunit ribosomal RNA
Source: RNAcentral